UACGAGGGGGGCAAGUGUUGUUCGGAUUUACUGGGUGUAAAGGGAGUGUAGGCGGUUUGGCAAGUCAGGGGUGAAAUACCCGCGCUUAACGCGGUGUCCUGCCUUUGAAACUACCAAACUUGAAUGUUGGAGAGGGUAACGGAAUUCCAGGUGUAGCGGUGGAAUGCGUAGAUAUCUGGAAGAACACCAGUUGCGAAGGCGGUUACCUGGCCAAACAUUGACGCUGAGGCUCGAAAGCCGGGGGA
This 245-nucleotide ribosomal RNA is filed under the name uncultured bacterium. Its description in RNAcentral is "partial 16S ribosomal RNA". It matches the Rfam family "Bacterial small subunit ribosomal RNA", at positions 524 to 767 of the family's 1533-position model. The record is from RNAcentral.